AGAGUUUGAUCAUGGCUCAGGACGAACGCUGGCGGCGUGCUUAACACAUGCAAGUGGAGCGACGAACCGGGCUUCGGCCCGGGGCAAAGCCGCGAACGGGUGAGUAACACGUGGGUAACCUGCCCCGAUGACCGGGACAACCCGAGGAAACUCGGGCUAAUACCGGAUGUGUACCGCGCUCAUAAGGGCACGGUGCAAAGGUAGCUUCGGCCUCCGCAUCGGGAUGGGCCCGCGGCCCAUUAGCUUGUUGGUGGGGUAACGGCCUACCAAGGCUGCGAUGGGUAGCUGGUCUGAGAGGACGAUCAGCCACACUGGGACUGAGACACGGCCCAGACUCCUACGGGAGGCAGCAGUGGGGAAUCUUGCGCAAUGCGCGAAAGCGUGACGCAGCAACGCCGCGUGGGGGAAGAAGGCCUUCGGGUUGUAAACCCCUUUCAGUUGGGACGAAGCUUUGCCGGUGAAUAGCCGGCUGGAGUGACGGUACCUUCAGAAGAAGCCCCGGCUAACUACGUGCCAGCAGCCGCGGUA
This 528-nucleotide ribosomal RNA is filed under the name uncultured Actinomycetes bacterium. RNAcentral's name for it is "bacterial SSU rRNA". It matches the Rfam family "Bacterial small subunit ribosomal RNA", at positions 8 to 522 of the family's 1533-position model. The record is from RNAcentral. Lineage: Bacteria; Bacillati; Actinomycetota; Actinomycetes.